CUGGGACGGGCCCCAGGGACACCACGCUGGUCAGAGCAAUUAAAGUGGGUUUAUGGUGCCUUCUCCACCCAGGAGUGGGGCGGGGGGGGGCAUGGGAGAAGGGGCUCCAGGGCCAAGGCUGAGCAGCAGAGGCGAUGCGUGGGAAGGAGGGAGAACAAACGCUGCCUCACUUGCAGGAUGAGUCUGCAGAGCCAUGCUGCACCACCACGACGAGGAACGAGUUUAAGCCUCUGUGGUCACACAUGCAGUCAAUCUGGACCGAUUCUCAGCUGGAAGAUAAACCCAGUCAGUGCCUGGGGUUCCUCUCGCCUCCCGUCUUCUCCCAGCGUGGCUGCCUGUAGCUUGGCAGGCAGACACCCUUUGGCAAGGCACCACAUCCACAGCUUCCCCCGUUCCCUGGCUGUGCUGUCAGCACGCCGCGUGCUGUGCGUGCAUCCCAGUGAGCUCCUGAGGAUCCAGCCGCCCCGACAGCCUCGCAGGGCACAGCGGGGUUGAACCCCGGUGGUUCCCAGGUGCUGCUGGCAUUGAAACCGGGCCUGCAGGGAUGGCAGUCACAGCAGGACUCUCACUCAUCCCUGCAGAGCUUUUGUAGCUCCUGGUGGCUUUGUAGCUGACUGAUCAUGGCAGCUCAGUAGGGCUGGCUUACACAAGUUUUGCCUGCUGGAUGCUGAUCCUCAGCACUGACCUUACACACGAGGAUGGGAAAAGAGCAGUGUUUUCCCAGCUCUGUUUUCUGAAUAUCCACUUGACUUUGGUCAAUGGGUUCAGUCAGCACUCUUAAAUAAGUGAAACCACCCAUCCCAGCAGUACUGUACUCUGUCUUAUAUACAAGUUGCUACUGGAGACAAAAAUCAGGAAUAGUUUCAGCUGAUGGGAAUUUUUCAAUUUUUGUUUUCUUCUAUAAAAUUUUGCAUCAUAUAAAGAGCUAGCCAAAAAUAUUGAACUUCGAAGAGGAAAACAGUCUCCCUCUUCAGCUGGCUCUAUUGUUCACAUCUUUGAUUAUUUUCUUCUUUCUGUGGACCAGUAAUAUUGCCCAGUUAAAAGGAACUGGACUGAUUUUGAUCUUCUACAAGUACGACUGUAGUUAUUGCUGAAUUAUGCCAGAAUAAGUGAGAUCAGAGCUGGGCUCAAAAUCCUGCUUCUCCAGAGCUUUAUGAUCAAAGCUAUGUUGUGCAAGAAACAGAGAAAGGGUGAAGGGAAUAGAAGACAAUUAGCUUUAUUGCAGUCCAGAGAAAGGUCAGUGCAUCAGCUGUGCUACGCUCUUUGCCCUUUGGCUGCCUUGGAGGAGGGAAAAUUCAUGUGCCUUAGCCCCAUCCUGGCUCUUUAAAGUUGCAUCACUUUCAUCCCAGCUGAUUUCCUGGCUCUGUCUGGCUGCAUUCUUGGACCCAGAGAUGCUGAUUAUCAGCAGUGCCAGCCCCAUUAGCCACCCAUCCUCACUGGGGACGUUUGGCUGAACUUGUGCCUCUGAGGCCAUGCCUGUUCCUGCCAGGCUCCAAUCUGUUUCUUUUUCUUCAGCAGGUCAGGGACUUACUGCAUGGCACAUGGAGCACAGCAGCGGCAAUCCCAUAAUUUCUUGUUUCUGCCUUCUGCUGAUUGGAAUGUCCUAGACAGGCAAGUUUGGAGAGAGGAAAAAUGCUGUCUGCGCACCAGGUCUUGGAGGGGGUUUCAUUUUGGAUGGUGCAAAGCACUGAGGGAUGUGUGCAAGGGGGGAAACCAGAAGCAUCUGGUGAAAGGCUUUAACACAGGCUGCCAGGGAGGCAAUAGAUGAGUGACCAGUGAGUCACUCAGCAGGCACUGAGUCAGGGAGACCUUACUGUACAGGCUCUUACUCAGCUGAAGAAGGUUCUCUGCUGCCCAGAUGCACCAACCUGGUGAGGCCAAAUCCUGUCCUCUCAUUGCAAUGUCCCAGGCUGCAACCUGGAGGGCACUGAACAGGGUGAAGAGAAAAUCUCAGUGCAGGAACGAUAAUCACGUUUGGAAAAAUUUGAGCAAUAGUGUUAGUAUAAAUGCUGCUGGCUCUCGUCUUAGAGUAUUUCAAGUUCUUAGACCAGCAUUAUAGUUCCUAGACCAGAUACUACCCAAAGCAAAUGUCUCUGUCACAGGUGGAUGCACCUCCUUGAGGGGUGCAUCUCCUACCAGAAGGAAUCUGGCCAUUGCUUGCUGCUGCCAUCUCCAGGCUGCUGUGGCAGAAACCUGGAGUCAGAUCUGUGGCCUUUGAUAGUUUAAUUCCUUCUCUGCAGGCGCAGCGUGUAUCCCAUGGAGCUGGGAUGCUUCAAAACCUAGCAGAAAUAAACAUUUACACAGCCUCA
Molecule: long non-coding RNA, 2309 nt
Filed under: Cyanistes caeruleus (blue tit)
Lineage: Eukaryota; Metazoa; Chordata; Aves; Passeriformes; Paridae
Description: lncRNA (ENSCCEG00000017657.1)
Source: RNAcentral